UCUGCCUGUAAGAUUUAGUGGAGAUGGAUUUGUCACUUCUUUUCUUGGUGACCCUCUUCUUUUUAAUUGAAGAGUCCUGUGGAGAUAUCAUCAUGACUCAGUCUCCUUCAAGUCUGUCUACACGACCAGGAGAAACUGUCAAGAUGAACUGUAAAGCCAGCAGCUCCAUUACUAGUGGCAGCUAUAACUACCUGGCCUGGUAUCAGCAAAGAGCAGGAGAAGCUCCAAAACUUCUGAUCUACGCGUCAAGCACUCUGCAGUCUGGGAUCUCAAGUCGCUUCAGUGGCAGUGGCUCAGGACUUGAUUACACGCUGACCAUCAGUAACGUGCAGGCAGAAGAUGCAGGACAUUACUACUGUAUGCAGAGCCACAGCACUCCUCUCACACAGUGA
This is a non-coding RNA of Polypterus senegalus (gray bichir), 392 nucleotides long. The record is from the annotation of a RefSeq genome assembly. NCBI's taxonomy places the organism in Eukaryota, Metazoa, Chordata, Cladistia, Polypteriformes, Polypteridae.